This is a long non-coding RNA of Astatotilapia calliptera (eastern happy), 1544 nucleotides long. NCBI's taxonomy places the organism in Eukaryota, Metazoa, Chordata, Actinopteri, Cichliformes, Cichlidae. The record is from Ensembl.
GAAAAAACAUCCGGAAAAGAUCCCCGAUUGUUCUUCUGUUCGUUUAAACGAAGAACACCAGAAGACGCUUCUUUACGCAUCAGAAUUCCUGAGCGACAAAUCCACUAAAAGACAUGACGACGCAUUCUCUUCCUUUUUUAGAGAACAGUCCUGGUCAAAACCUCCAGGUGGGAAAUGGAGUAAACAACAUUUUUGUGACACAGUCGCAGGACAGCAGAAGGGAAGAUGAUGCCAAUCACAUACCAGUUUUAAAAGUGCCUUCGAGCAGAGUCUUGGAGGCAGGAGUGACUACUUUGCAAAAGACCCUGGUUCUGAAGAAACAGGCAGAGCUGGAUGAGGUGGAGAAGCGACUUGCACUUAAACGGCUGGAUUUUAAAGCCUGCAUGGAGGCCCUUGCUCAGCGAAGGUCUGAACUUGAAAUAAAACUACAAGAGACUAAAGAAAAAGUAGGGAAAUUUGAGAAGUUCGUAGCUGAGAAUGAAGCAAAGCAACGCAGAGCGUUAAAGAGCUGUGAAGCUUCACGGGUGCAAAACAUUUUUAAAAAGCAGCAGAUAAAAGAUUUGACAGAACAGCUUAAAGGAUUCAGAGACAGGAGCUGCUGCAACGUUUGCAACGUAUGGAGGCGGAGGUGGAGGAAGGCCAGCGGCAGCUGCAGAAUAUGAAGGAGGAACACAGCGUAAAGAAACUGAUGGCCAAUAAAGAGCUGUCUGAACUGCAGAGUGAGUUAGAGACCCUCAAAGAGAAGAACAAGCAGGCAGAGGUUAACUUGCAGAUGGAGCAAGACUUAUCCAGAGAGAAGGUUACAGAAGUGGGAAGACUGCUUAUGGCCAUCAGCAACCUUGCAGAACAGUGUUACCUACCAGAAUACGGACCGCUGGAAAAGAUGAACGCGCUGACAAUGAUGGACAUGGUGAAGGAGUACAUUCUGGACAAGGUAGACACGGAGAGGAGAGCGAGGAGGAUGAUGGAGUUGGGGAGUUUGAUGACGAGCACAACCGCUGCGGCAAACAAAAGAGAGAGGGGGUCAAUGAGAAGCUUUGGAAGUAAAACACAAAUCAAAAGUUCAAGUAAAGUCAGCAGAAGGAGUGAGACAUUUGGUUGAUGUUGUAGUUUGAGUAUUCAUCACAGUGUUGUCUCUUAUGGUUUGUUGAGAGUGGAGGUUCGUUCUUGAGGUGGGAAGAAGCAUUUGCUACCACUUCGUAGCAAAUGAAGUGUUACCAAAACCUUGAGAAAAAAAAAGCUUGUAGGAGAACAUAAUGUUUUUUUUUCAUUAUUUGCCUUUAUAACAUUUGUUCAGUGUUUAAAAAAUGUGUGCAGCAACCUUUGCACUUAAGACGUCAUAGACAAGGAACUGAAAACGUAGCUGUUUGAAAUGAGAUCCUCAUGUUUAACAGGUCAUCCGAAGUUGUAAAUUUGGAUUUGGGCACAUUGUAUUGUGAAUGUUGCUUUUAUUUAAAAAAAAAAAAUAAAGUGGUCAUAAUCAAAUUAUGUAAAUGCUCACUCAAUCAACAGCAAUCCACCACCUUUGCAUCAUGCAAAACACC